RNAcentral lists this ribosomal RNA (480 nucleotides) under uncultured bacterium. Its description in RNAcentral is "partial 16S ribosomal RNA". It matches the Rfam family "Bacterial small subunit ribosomal RNA", at positions 29 to 523 of the family's 1533-position model. The record is from RNAcentral.
UACGAACGCUGGCGGCGUGCUUAACACAUGCAAGUCGAACGGUAAGGCCCUUUGGGGUACACGAGUGGCGAACGGGUGAGUAACACGUGGGUGAUCUGCCCUGCACUUUGGGAUAAGCCUGGGAAACUGGGUCUAAUACCGAAUACACCCUGCUGGUCGCAUGGCCUGGUGGGGGAAAGCUUUUGCGGUGUGGGAUGGGCCCGCGGCCUAUCAGCUUGUUGGUGGGGUGAUGGCCUACCAAGGCGACGACGGGUAGCCGGCCUGAGAGGGUGACCGGCCACACUGGGACUGAGAUACGGCCCAGACUCCUACGGGAGGCAGCAGUGGGGAAUAUUGCACAAUGGGCGCAAGCCUGAUGCAGCGACGCCGCGUGAGGGAUGACGGCCUUCGGGUUGUAAACCUCUUUCAAUAGGGACGAAGCGCAAGUGACGGUACCUAUAGAAGAAGGACCGGCCAACUACGUGCCAGCCGCCGCAGUAA